Molecule: non-coding RNA, 85 nt
Organism: Lasiosphaeria hispida
Lineage: Eukaryota; Fungi; Ascomycota; Sordariomycetes; Sordariales; Lasiosphaeriaceae
Source: the annotation of a GenBank genome assembly
GUAGGUAUAGUAUAGUGGUUAGUAUAUCUCAUUGUGGUUGUCGACAACCUCUAAUACGACGCCUGUUUGAUUCAGGCUAUCUGUA